CGCCUUUAGUUAAAAUAUUAAAGGUCCCUUCUGCCCUAUGAUAAUUUAAAUGGCCGCGGUACCCUGACCGUGCAAAGGUAGCAUAAUAAUUUGCCCCCUAAUUAGGGGCUGGAAUGAAUGAAUUCAUGAGAGUCCAACUGUUUCAUUUUUACAUAUAAAAACUAUCCUUGAAGUGAAGAGACUUCAAUUCUAUAAAAAGACAAAAAGACCCUAUUGAGCUUUAUCUAAUAUAAGUACCUAGUUAAAAUCUUAAACUUCCCCUUAAAAUAGAUUUUGUUGGGGCGACAUAAGAAGAAUAAAUCUUCUUUUCUAUUAAAGGCCACCCUCCAGAUUAAUGAUCCGCCAACAGCGAUUAAAGAAACCAGCUACCAUAGGGAUAACAGGCUAAUCUUCCUUGAGAGCCCAAAUUGACAGGAAGGUUUGGCACCUCGAUGUUGGCUUAAGGAAACUAAAAGAUGCAAAAGUCUUUUGAGUGGGUUUGUUCAACCUUUAAUACCUU
Molecule: ribosomal RNA, 499 nt
Filed under: Rhynchospio nhatrangi
Lineage: Eukaryota; Metazoa; Annelida; Polychaeta; Spionida; Spionidae
Description: partial 16S ribosomal RNA
Rfam family: Bacterial large subunit ribosomal RNA
Source: RNAcentral